UGGGGAAUAUUGGACAAUGGGCGAAAGCCUGAUCCAGCCAUGCCGCGUGUGUGAAGAAGGUCUUCGGAUUGUAAAGCACUUUAAGUUGGGAGGAAGGGCAUUAACCUAAUACGUUAGUGUUUUGACGUUACCGACAGAAUAAGCACCGGCUAACUCUGUGCCAGCAGCCGCGGUAAUACAGAGGGUGCAAGCGUUAAUCGGAAUUACUGGGCGUAAAGCGCGCGUAGGUGGUUUGUUAAGUUGGAUGUGAAAUCCCCGGGCUCAACCUGGGAACUGCAUUCAAAACUGACUGGCUAGAGUAUGGUAGAGGGUGGUGGAAUUUCCUGUGUAGCGGUGAAAUGCGUAGAUAUAGGAAGGAACACCAGUGGCGAAGGCGACCACCUGGACUAAUACUGACACUGAGGUGCGAAAGCGUGGUGAGCAAACA
This 427-nucleotide ribosomal RNA is filed under the name uncultured bacterium. RNAcentral describes it as "partial 16S ribosomal RNA". It matches the Rfam family "Bacterial small subunit ribosomal RNA", at positions 355 to 774 of the family's 1533-position model. The record is from RNAcentral.